Molecule: RNA transcript, 3581 nt
Organism: Rana temporaria (common frog)
Lineage: Eukaryota; Metazoa; Chordata; Amphibia; Anura; Ranidae
Gene: CELF4
Gene name: CUGBP Elav-like family member 4
Exons: 17
Source: RefSeq, a predicted model, not a curated record
CCCCUCAGUCUGCCUGGGACUUGAGCUGCUCCUGCCUGUUUAAACGGAAAGGACACAGAUCCUGUCUGUUCAAUGUAUAAAAAAAAUUCCCAAUCAGAGCAGGCUGAGAGAGGGGGAGGCAGAGAGUGUGUAUGUGUGCCAGAGAGAGAAUCACCGUGUCAGAGAGAGAAAAGCCAACAGGAUCCUCUAUGUAUAUAAAGAUGGCCACGUUAGCUAACGGACAAGCAGACAACAGCAGCCUGAACAGCAAUCACAGCAACAACCCCAACACCAACGGGCACAUGAACGGAUUAAACCACAGUCCAGGGAGCACUUCCACCAUCCCCAUGAAGGACCACGAUGCCAUCAAGCUCUUCAUUGGGCAGAUCCCUCGCAAUCUGGACGAGAAGGACCUGAAGCCUCUCUUUGAGGAGUUCGGCAAGAUCUAUGAGCUGACAGUGUUGAAGGACAGGUUCACGGGCAUGCACAAAGGCUGCGCCUUCCUUACAUACUGUGAACGAGAAUCUGCUCUGAAAGCUCAAAGUGCUCUGCAUGAACAGAAGACUCUUCCUGGGAUGAACCGGCCAAUCCAGGUCAAGCCAGCAGACAGCGAAAGUCGAGGAGCAGGGACUUGGCAGCCUGCCAGCCUUGGAAUCUGGUGCAGAGAAAGAGGAGAGAACAGAGUGCUGAGAUCUGACUUGGACUACUCGAAUGCUUGUCUUGUGAACUAUGAGAAUGAAUUGCUCUGCAGUGCCUGCACCUACAAAGAAGACAGAAAACUUUUCGUGGGCAUGUUGAACAAACAACAGUCAGAAGACGAUGUCCGUCGGCUAUUUGAAGCUUUUGGGAAUAUCGAGGAGUGUACAAUCCUUCGAGGACCAGAUGGAAACAGCAAAGGGUGUGCGUUUGUCAAAUACUCAUCGCAUGCGGAAGCACAGGCAGCCAUUAACGCCCUACACGGGAGUCAGACGAUGCCGGAUGCUGAAACUGUGCUGCUGUCCAUGAUGCAUAACCAUGCCCCUGGUUUUGCUGCCCGUUGUCAGUUACCGGGGGCGUCAUCGAGCCUGGUGGUGAAAUUUGCAGACACAGACAAGGAGCGCACAAUGAGACGCAUGCAACAAAUGGCAGGGCAGAUGGGAAUGUUCAACCCAAUGGCCAUCCAGUUCGGAGCUUAUGGCGCUUAUGCACAGGCACUGAUGCAGCAGCAGGCUGCCAUCAUGGCUUCCGUCGCGCAGGGCGGAUACCUGAACCCCAUGGCUGCCUUCGCGGCCGCCCAGAUGCAACAGAUGGCAGCCCUCAACAUGAACGGCCUGGCCGCUGCUCCUAUGACGCCAACAUCAGGUGGCAGCACACCACCUGGUAUCACCGCACCAGCUGUGCCUAGUAUUCCAUCUCCAAUCGGGGUCAACGGCUUCACCGGCAUUCCGCCCCAAGCUAAUGGGCAACCAGCUGCAGAAGCCGUGUUUGCCAACGGAAUCCAUCCUUAUCCAGAAAUACCACUUCAAUGGAUAAAAUCACAGAGCCCCACCGCGGCAGACCCCCUGCAGCAAGCCUACGCCGGAGUGCAGCAGUACGCAGGUCCUGCUUAUCCUGCUGCCUAUGGACAGAUCAGUCAAGCAUUCCCCCAGCCACCUCCCAUGAUCCCACAGCAACAGCGAGAAGGACCCGAAGGCUGCAACCUGUUUAUCUACCAUCUGCCCCAGGAAUUUGGGGACGCCGAGCUCAUGCAGAUGUUCCUGCCUUUCGGUAAUGUCAUCUCCUCGAAAGUGUUUGUGGAUCGGGCGACAAACCAAAGUAAAUGCUUUGGUUUUGUGAGUUUUGACAAUCCUGCCAGUGCCCAGGCGGCCAUCCAGGCCAUGAAUGGCUUUCAGAUUGGCAUGAAGAGGCUGAAGGUGCAACUCAAGAGGCCGAAAGAUGCCAACCGCCCUUACUGAGAUACUUCAGGAGCCUCUGGAAUCAAGGACUAGCACAGACCCAACAUACGAUCUCACGCCGAAAAAAGUUAACGUAAUGACGUGGAGAAACGAGCCCCCCCCAGUCCGACAGGAACUGAAUGGGCCGUAUUAUUACAAUACAAAAUAAACAUAUAAAAGAAUAUAUGACCGAGAAGCGCUGGAUUACAAUUUUGACAUAUCAGCAAAGUACCAAUCAUGCUGAAGACUUCAGACUUUUCUUCUACUUUGAUUGUUAAGACUGUAAUAUUUCUUCAAUGAAAGUAUCGCGACUGCUUACGUGGAUGGGAACUCAAGUUGGAAACAUCAGACGGAUCAAGAUCAAUGGGAAUUUCCGAACAGACACUGAUAAUGCCACAAAAAAAAAAGGCUUUUUCUUAAAAAAAAAAAAAAGAAACCUGAAAUUUGACAAGGAGUGCCUGUUCGCCACCAUGAGUUAUGUUGCUAUGGCAUCCCCAUGGCAACUGUUGCAAGAAGCAUCGUUUAUGUCAUUCCUUAGCUAUUUAGGGACCAAAGGACCAAACUUUUUAUUGCAGACUUGUAGCUGUAUGUAAAAUAUGAAGUUAACUUCCUACACCUUAGCUGUUCUUAAAACAGUUUGGGAGUAAUUAUAUGAAAUAUGUAAAAAAAAAAAAAAAAAAAUGCUUAAAAUGCUUUUAAAAAAUGGCAAGAUAAUAGCUAUUUGAUACUAUAGAAGGUUCUUUGGUUACAUUAAUUAAAUUCUUGAAAAUUUCCUAUGGUUUUAUGUAUAUUAUGAAAGGAUAAGUAUGUAGGAAUUAAAUAGAGGAUAGAUAUUUUAAAAAGCAGACAAAACAAAAAAUUUAAAAAAAACGUGAGAUGGAAAAAAAAAUAAUAAAAAAUGAGAAAAAUAAAAAAAAAAUUGAAAAAUGCAUUAGAAAGAAGGUAGUAGGAAAAAAAAAAAAAGGUUUGUAAAUGCUUCUAACUACCCUUUAAAAUCCUAAUAGUUGUACAGAUUUAACAGAAAAGUUUAAGAUAUCUAUAUAAUAGUAAAAAAAAAAAAUUAGAAAGCAAAAACAAAAAAAAAAAAAAGUUUAAAAAAAAAAAAUAGACGUUAGCAUUAUGGCUAAAAGAAAGAUGUUGUAGAACUGUAAUUUUUGUAGAGUUUAGAAUAAGCAUAAAAUCCUAUUGCAUACUUUAUUGAGGAGGAUAUGAGAGGCUGUGAUGGCAGCUUUUGACUGCAAGCAUUCCACCUAUUAAAAAAAUAAAACUUGACUCUUGUAAAAUGAUGCAAUGAAAUAAAAUAACGUUACAACAGCUAUUGUCUUUUUUUCAUCAGUUAAUUGUAACUUGAAGAAUGACAUGGCUCUUCGCUUCAUAUCUUCGUAAUCUGCUCUUUGCUAACCCUCCCAUCAUCCUCUGCUUUAGUAGUUUCCAUAUUUGUUCUAGACCUUCAGGGGCAAAAGACAGCCUAGAACCUUAAUGUUAAAAAAAAAGUAAAAAAUAAAAAAAUAUAAACAAUCUUUGAAAAAAUUUCUGAAACUGUUUACAAGGAAUUUUGAAAAACAGGGGAUGUUUAAAAAAAACGAUGCUGGCUCUGUUUUUCUGUAAAUACAUUUGCAUAUUUUGUAGGUCUUUUAAUUGUAAUGAUAGAGAAAAAAAAAAAAAAAACAAGGAAAAAAUUAUUUAAAA